Molecule: long non-coding RNA, 1148 nt
Filed under: Musa acuminata (dwarf banana)
Lineage: Eukaryota; Viridiplantae; Streptophyta; Magnoliopsida; Zingiberales; Musaceae
Description: long non-coding RNA (MACU_LNC002259)
Source: RNAcentral
GUGAGAUUUCUUGUUGAUGUGGAAGCAUGACAACUAAGAGACAUGUAUAGCAGCUUCAGAGCUCCAAAGGUGCUGCUAUUAGAUUUAUUGGAUGAGAAGCUCUUCUGUUGCAUCACCUGCCCCAAAAGUGCUUUUGUCAGACCACCUGUUGAAGGAUUCGGAUCUCCAGACAAGGAACGUGCAUGGUGAAGAUAAAUCUUUCAGGUACAUAAGCCAAUUGUGAUGAUUAAGAACACAAUUUUUCAUUUAGAACCGAACUCUCAAAAUCAUUAUAUUCAGUAAGGAAAUAAAGAAACUUUUGUACACUGUGGAUCUUAUUCUAUUGGUAAACUGACCUCAGGGUUCUCUAUUUUGCAGGGACAUGUAUGUAAUUUGCCAAAAGGAAUAAAAUCUACCAACUUCGAGGAAGCUACGAGCAUCGAGAUCGGACUCAGAACAGCCUAUCUCAAAGCCCAAUCAUAAAUCAGAGUGCAACAGUCAUAUAGGCAUUCGAUACAUGAUCAUAUUAAAUAGUCUUAUUCAUGGGGAAGCCACGAUGAGGUUGACAAGGUUGGCUUGGACGUGGAGUGCGCAACAUGGUCAGUUCCCCCCUUCUCUCUCCCUCUCUUUCUUUGGCUUUUUGCGUUGAAAUGACUAUUGGCAGAGGCUUCACCGAGAAUCUGAUAUGAUCCAAAAGCGUAGAGAUCAAAGCAGGAAAAGAACUGCUGCUUUUCUCAACGAGUCUCCCCCGCCAUUGAUGGUCUGAUGUGAUCUUAAGAAGAACACCUCGUCCUUUCCCUGUGAAGGCUAGUGCAUAGCUGCGCCCUCAACCGUGUAAGUUAUUGUCCCCUUCGUUCUUCAUCUUGCACGCAACCUUUGGCUAAACCGGACGACGAUUGACGGGUGAUCGGACCGGCUGAGGGUUUGGCCGUGGCCGGAGUGCGAAGGGGUACGUGGAAAUACGAGCUCAGACUUGGUUUUCCGAGCUGUGUGACCUUUGGACGCAACAGUGAGAAGGCUGUUGAUGCGUGUCAGGUCUGUUUCCUGCCGGAUUCUAACUAGUGUAUCACCACGAGAGAGAGAGAGAGAGAGAGAGAGAGAGAUAUAUAUAUAUAUAUAUAUAUAUAUAUAUAUAUAUAUAUAUAUAUAUAUAUAUAUAUAUAUGUAGG